This is a long non-coding RNA of Lagopus muta (rock ptarmigan), 1288 nucleotides long. RefSeq lists it as uncharacterized. Lineage: Eukaryota; Metazoa; Chordata; Aves; Galliformes; Phasianidae. The record is from RefSeq and is a predicted model, not a curated record. The transcript has 3 exons.
GAAGAUUAGACAGAGAAUCUCUCACAUGAUUUUACCCUCUUCAUCCUGGACACUGGAAUCACAGGAAUUUCUGAGCUUUCUGAUACACAUUUGUAUGUCAGAAUAAUCACAUCCUUUUAGUAAACUGAACUAAACUUUAGUUAACUGAAGAAUCUACACAACUAGUCCAAGCAUAGAUGCAGAUGCGUAGAUUUAUAGGAGAUCAAUGCCACGAGCCUCAGUUUUAUGGCUCUCCCAUUUAGCAACAUGGGAGGAGAAAAAGUGCAGGUCAGAAGUGCUAAUUGUUACCUUCAACAAAGGUAAAAAACAGACCAAAACAACAAGAAUAGCAGGUUUCAAAAAUGGGACUUAGGAAUGAAAAGCAAAAUAAAAAUAAAAUUUAAAAAAAAAAUGAGUGCACUUUGCACUUUCUUAACCAAAAGCUGAAAUGAAGGAAUGUUAGAGGAAAGGAGAUGUAACAAGUGUGAGGAAUCAAAGCAUCUGCACUUAGGAGAAAACAGAGCUACUCCUUGGACAUGAUCCGAGGGCACAGUGUAAUUAACAGGUACUCCCAAGGUGUCUGUCUUCAAAAGGUGCCAAGGUUUCUUGAUAAGUUAUCUCAGGAGCCAACACAACAGGUGACAGAAGGGCUGUUGCUUUCAAGGACACCCCUUCAGGUCACACCAUUCAGAUGAGCUGAGCAAGCUCGAUAGUUAUUGGAUUGAGGCAGAGCCUCGUGCUAAUAAAGCUGCAAUAUGCCCAAAAAGAAGAUGUCUGCUUGAGCAUUGCUUAUCCUGAAGAACAGAAGCACAGGGUGAGAUUACACAGAAUUAAGAUCACGAGAGGAGGCAAUGCUAUCAAUAAUAAGAAAUGGUAAUUUCAUAAUUUCAGAAGUCAUUUCAUUUUCUUCCAUUCCUGCAAGUCACGUCAGAAGCUUUAAACCAACUGUGCCUCUCUUUAUCAAGCCCUCUUGUGAAGCAAGGAUGGGAAACUACCAGAAUCCUCACAAGCAAAUGACAUAGGAAAGGAAUUCUCUCCAUAGUGCCAAUUGCAACAAGAAGAUGGCUUGGACUCCCAAAUUCACUGAAUAGCUCCAGAAAACCACCAGUAACUGGGUAACACACUACAUGCAACAAGCCCCAGCAUCUGGAAUGGAAAGCUUCAAUACCUGCACAUCUGAGAGAGCAACCACUGCUGAAGAAGAGCCUCCUACAGCACUCAACUUGUACAUGUUGUGAUGAAACAGAGAUGUCUGUUACACAGCAGUGGAGCCUCCCAUGAAGCUGCAUCCGUUCAAGCUGGACUGUUU